Non-coding RNA from Micropterus salmoides (largemouth bass), 398 nucleotides. The record is from the annotation of a RefSeq genome assembly. NCBI's taxonomy places the organism in Eukaryota, Metazoa, Chordata, Actinopteri, Centrarchiformes, Centrarchidae.
UCAAGAUAUCAUCCUCCAGCUUUACGAUGCCAGAUGUCACAGCUAAGAUGUCUCCAGCUGGCACUGGAUUUUUUCUUCUUCUCUUGCUUCCAUAUCAAGCCGAGAGUGUGACAGUUCAGCAGUCUCAGUCCAGACUAGUCAAUGUGACGGACAGGGUAGAGAUCAAAUGUAGUCACAAUGACAACGAUCUCUAUGUCAUGCUCUGGUACCAGCAAAGAGAGAACCAACUGAUGAGCCUAAUGGGAUACAGCUACGAUAUCAAUCCGCCCGAGUAUGAGCAGCAGUUUCUAGAUCAAAUUGAGAUUGUUAGGGAAACCAAACUGAGAGGAGCUCUGAUCAUUCACAGUGUGAAUCUGUCAGACUCAGCUGUGUAUUUCUGUGCUGCCAGUACACAGUGA